This 473-nucleotide ribosomal RNA is filed under the name uncultured Streptococcus sp. RNAcentral's name for it is "bacterial SSU rRNA". It matches the Rfam family "Bacterial small subunit ribosomal RNA", at positions 907 to 1382 of the family's 1533-position model. The record is from RNAcentral. Lineage: Bacteria; Bacillati; Bacillota; Bacilli; Lactobacillales; Streptococcaceae.
AGAAUUGACGGGGCCGCACAAGCGGUGGAGCAUGUUGGUUUAAUUCGAAGCAACGCGAAGAACCUUACCAGGUCUUGACAUCCCGAUGCUAUUUCUAGAGAUAGAAAGUUACUUCGGUACAUCGGUGACAGGUGGUGCAUGGUUGUCGUCAGCUCGUGUCGUGAGAUGUUGGGUUAAGUCCCGCAACGAGCGCAACCCCUAUUGUUAGUUGCCAUCAUUCAGUUGGGCACUCUAGCGAGACUGCCGGUAAUAAACCGGAGGAAGUGGGGAUGACGUCAAAUCAUCAUGCCCCUUAUGACCUGGGCUACACACGUGCUACAAUGGUUGGUACAACGAGUUGCGAGUCGGUGACGGCGAGCUAAUCUCUUAAAGCCAAUCUCAGUUCGGAUUGUAGGCUGCAACUCGCCUACAUGAAGUCGGAAUCGCUAGUAAUCGCGGAUCAGCACGCCGCGGUGAAUACGUUCCCGGGCCUU